This 120-nucleotide ribosomal RNA is filed under the name Omnitrophica bacterium SCGC AAA257-O07. Lineage: Bacteria; Pseudomonadati; Candidatus Omnitrophota. The record is from RNAcentral.
UUCUCGGUGGUCAUAGGAGAGGGGCAACACCCGUUCCCAUUCCGAAUACGGAAGUUAAGCCCUCUACCGGCGAUGGUACUAACGGAGUGAUUCGUUGGGAGAGUAGCAAGCUGCCGGGUU